Molecule: ribosomal RNA, 467 nt
Filed under: uncultured bacterium
Lineage: Bacteria
Description: partial 16S ribosomal RNA
Rfam family: Bacterial small subunit ribosomal RNA
Source: RNAcentral
GACGAACGCUGGCGGCGUGCUUAACACAUGCAAGUCGAACGGAAGGCCCUGCUUUUGUGGGGUGCUCGAGUGGCGACCGGGGGAGUAACACGUGAGUAACCUGCCCUUGACUUUGGGAUAAUUUCAUGAAACUGGGGCUAAUACCGGCUAAGAGCUCCUGCUGCAUGGUGGGGGUUGGAAAGUUUCGGCGGUUGGGGAUGGACUCGCGGCUUAUCAGCUCGUUGGUGAGGUAGUGGCUUACCAAGGCUUUGACGGGUAGCCGGCCUGAGAGGGUGACCGGCCACAUUGGGACUGAGAUACGGCCCAGACUCCUACGGGAGGCAGCAGUGGGGAAUAUUGCACAAUGGGCGGAAGCCUGAUGCAGCAACGCCGCGUGCGGGAUGACGGCCUUCGGGUUGUAAACCGCUUUCGCCUGUGACGAAGCGUGAGUGACGGUAAUGGGUAAAGAAGCACCGGCUAACUACGUG